GGCAGCAGCCCCAAGCUUGCCCAACUGGGCAGAGGAUCCUCCUCCUGUCACCACAGAGCCACAGACGCAGGGAGUGAGCCUGAGUGCCACCAGCCCCAGCUUGCUUUUCAUGGGCUGGUGGCAAAGAGGAAGUAUAGAGGCCAUGGAUAUUGCAGCUGAUAACACAAAGGAACCAAGAAGAUGCUCAGCUCUUAAAUGCCAACAACAAACCAAAGGGAAUCAACACCAGGCCCAAGGUGAGUGGCUGGGUUGGGAUAGGUGAAUGUGAGGGCUUUGCCUUCUCAGCAGCCACUCUGCUUCCUGCAGGCAGAGGUUUUCUCCUCUGGCAUUGCAUUUAGUUCUUUUUCAUCUCAAAAUCUCUUCUGCUGCUUCUUUUUUCUUCUUUUUUUCUUCUCUUUUUUUCUCCUUCUUUUUCUUCUCCUCCUUUUUUUUUCUUCUC
This is a long non-coding RNA of Pogoniulus pusillus (Red-fronted tinkerbird), 439 nucleotides long. RefSeq lists it as uncharacterized. Lineage: Eukaryota; Metazoa; Chordata; Aves; Piciformes; Lybiidae. The transcript is spliced from 3 exons. The record is from RefSeq and is a predicted model, not a curated record.